Molecule: ribosomal RNA, 929 nt
Filed under: Biatoropsis millanesiana
Lineage: Eukaryota; Fungi; Basidiomycota; Tremellomycetes; Tremellales; Tremellaceae
Description: Biatoropsis sp. AM-2020a partial large subunit ribosomal RNA
Rfam family: Eukaryotic large subunit ribosomal RNA
Source: RNAcentral
GACCUCAAAUCAGGUAGGGCUACCCGCUGAACUUAAGCAUAUCAAUAAGCGGAGGAAAAGAAACUAACAAGGAUUCCCCUAGUAACGGCGAGCGAACCGGGAAGAGCUCAAAUUUGAAAUCUGGCGUCCUCUGGGCGUCCGAGUUGUAAUCUAUAGAAGCGUUUUCCGCGCCGGACCGUGUCCAAGUCCCUUGGAACAGGGUAUCAAAGAGGGUGACAAUCCCGUACUUGACACGCCAACCGGUGCUAUGUGAUACGCUCUCUACGAGUCGAGUUGUUUGGGAAUGCAGCUUAGCGAACAAGUACCGUGAGGGAAAGAUGAAAAGCACUUUGGAAAGAGAGUUAAACAGUAUGUGAAAUUGUUGAAAGGGAAACGAUUGAAGUCAGUCGUGUCGUGAGGAUUCAGCCGGCCAUGCCGGUGCACUUCCCCUCGAUGGGUCAACAUCAGUUUUGUCCGGCGGAUAAGGGAGAUGGGAAAGUAGCACCCCCGGGUGUGUUAUAGCCCUUCGUCGCAUACGCCGGACGGAGACUGAGGCAUGCAGCUCGCCCUCUUUUUGGGCCGGGGUUCGCCCACGACCGAGCUUAGGAUGUUGACAGAAUGGCUUUAAACGACCCGUCUUGAAACACGGACCAAGGAGUCUAACAUACCUGCGAGUGUUUGGGUGUCAAACUCGGACGCGGAAUGAAAGUAAACGAAGGAGGGAUCCGCAAGGAGCACCUUUGACCGAUCUGGAUCUUCUGUGAUGGAUUUGAGUAAGAGCAUGUAUGCUGGGACCCGAAAGAUGGUGAACUAUGCCUGAAUAGGGCGAAGCCAGGGGAAACUCUGGUGGAGGCUCGUAGCGAUUCUGACGUGCAAAUCGAUCGUCAAAUUUGGGUAUAGGGGCUAAAGACUAAUCGAACCAUCUAGUAGUUGGUUCUUGCCGAAUUUCC